Olea europaea var. sylvestris is the source of this 827-nucleotide long non-coding RNA. RefSeq lists it as uncharacterized. The transcript has 2 exons. The record is from RefSeq and is a predicted model, not a curated record. Lineage: Eukaryota; Viridiplantae; Streptophyta; Magnoliopsida; Lamiales; Oleaceae.
GGCGCCAAAUAGGCGCCUGGACGUCCCUGGACGUCCAGCACGUCUCUUUUGAUAAACCUGUCUUCAUCUUCCCAAAAAAAUUCUAGACAUUUCUCCCAAAUCACAAAGCAAGAGGAAACCUGUAUGCUUCUUCAUCGCCGACGUCGAUCGGCGCGCACCAUUGGCCACCGUGCGAGGACGACAGCCCACCGAAACCCAACGUCGAAAUAGCAUUUGAAGACGGCAGUCGAAUCAUAGAUGCUAGGCAAAGUUGUUGAGUAGAAUGAGAGGAAUGAAUUUCAGAGUUUGUCACGACUAUAAAAGUAACACUCACUACUUCGGAAAAUGCCAAACAAAACGUGGAUGCCCUUCAUGUAAAAGCGGAUUUCGAAAAUGUUUUGAGGUAGAACGGGAUACUAGAAAUAAAGGGCGCUUGUUCUUUACGUGUAAUAACGACUGUGGAUAUUUCGAUUGGGUGAAAAAUGAAGAUAUAAGCAAGGAGUCGAGUACCAUUAACGAAGAGGUGAAGCAUGAGCCCAAUGAGGUAUACAAAGACUUGCUAAGAGUCUUAGCCUAGCUCGAAUUAUCGAGAAACGAGAUGUCAACAUAACAUUGCACGUUACAUUUCGCAAAGGAAAAGGAAUUGUAGAAAGUGAUGGGAAGAGAAGGGACCGAUGUGAAUGGGUGAUGUCAAUUUGUAUUUGCUAUAUGCUUUAUUUGUACUAUAAGAACUUAUUGGUCAUAGUAGUCUUCGAUAUUCAAUGCUUAAUUUUGUCAACGUCGUUCGAGCUUUGGACAUAAGUUUAAUAUUUUGCGAAUUGUUGUAUUGCUUAGUAGGCUUGUUUUAA